This 1102-nucleotide ribosomal RNA is filed under the name uncultured Fusobacterium sp. Its description in RNAcentral is "bacterial SSU rRNA". The stretch from base 1 to 879 matches the Rfam family "Bacterial small subunit ribosomal RNA". Lineage: Bacteria; Fusobacteriati; Fusobacteriota; Fusobacteriia; Fusobacteriales; Fusobacteriaceae. The record is from RNAcentral.
GAUGAACGCUGACAGAAUGCUUAACACAUGCAAGUCGACUCGAGUCUUCGGACUUGGGUGGCGCGCGGGUGAGUAACGCGUAAAGAACUUGCCUCUUAGACCGGGGCAACAUCUGGAAACGGAUGCUAAUACCGGAUAUUAUGGUUUUUUCGCAUGGAGGAAUCAUGAAAGCUGGAUGCGCUAAGAGAGAGCUUUGCGUCCCAUUAGCUAGUUGGUGAGGUAACGGCCCACCAAGGCAAUGAUGGGUAGCCGGCCUGAGAGGGUGAACGGCCACAAGGGGACUGAGACACGGCCCUUACUCCUACGGGAGGCAGCAGUGGGGAAUAUUGGACAAUGGACCGCAAGUCUGAUCCAGCAAUUCUGUGUGCACGAUGACGUUUUUCGGAAUGUAAAGUGCUUUCAGUCGGGAAGAAGUCAGUGACGGUACCGACAGAAGAAGCGACGGCUAAAUACGUGCCAGCAGCCGCGGUAAUACGUAUGUCGCAAGCGUUAUCCGGAUUUAUUGGGCGUAAAGCGCGUCUAGGCGGCAAGGAAAGUCUGAUGUGAAAAUGCGGAGCUCAACUCCGUAUGGCGUUGGAAACUGCCUUACUAGAGUACUGGAGAGGUAGGCGGAACUACAAGUGUAGAGGUGAAAUUCGUAGAUAUUUGUAGGAAUGCCGAUGGGGAAGCCAGCCUACUGGACAGAUACUGACGCUAAAGCGCGAAAGCGUGGGGUAGCAUACAGGAUUAUAUACCCUGGUAGUCCAAGGGCGAAUUCCACAGUGGAUAUCAAGCUUUAUCGAUACCUGUCGACCUCGAGGGGGGGGAAACGGUACCCAGCUUUUGUUCCCUUUAGUGAGGUGUUAAAUUAAAUGUGUUGCCGCUGUGAAUACUACAUUGAUAUUACACGCUGUGCAUUCUGGUAAUUUCGUUUGUCUUUGUGUGUUGUUUCUAGUUUUAGUGUGUGUGCCGCCUGCCUCUUCGUGCUGUGAUUCUCUGUGCUAUCGUGUAAUAAAUAAACAAUACUUGAGAAAAUUGUUGUGCAGUAGCGAUGUGUGUCUUAGCUGCUAUAUGAUGUGCUGUGCAUGCUUAGUUGCCUGAAUGAUGGUGACUUAACCUGCAU